AACGAACGCUGGCGGCAGGCCUAACACAUGCAAGUCGAACGCCCGUAGCAAUACGGGAGUGGCAGACGGGUGAGUAACGCGUGGGAACGUGCCCUUCGGUUCGGAAUAACUCAGGGAAACUUGAGCUAAUACCGGAUACGUCCGUAAGGAGAAAGAUUUAUCGCCGAAGGAUCGGCCCGCGUCGGAUUAGCUAGUUGGUGAGGUAACGGCCCACCAAGGCGACGAUCCGUAGCUGGUCUGAGAGGANGAUCAGCCACACUGGGACUGAGACACGACCCAGACUCCUACCGGGAGGC
Molecule: ribosomal RNA, 296 nt
Filed under: uncultured bacterium
Lineage: Bacteria
Description: partial 16S ribosomal RNA
Rfam family: Bacterial small subunit ribosomal RNA
Source: RNAcentral